RNAcentral lists this ribosomal RNA (164 nucleotides) under Ulva sp. RZ1. RNAcentral's name for it is "partial 18S ribosomal RNA". It matches the Rfam family "Eukaryotic small subunit ribosomal RNA", at positions 1671 to 1831 of the family's 1831-position model. The record is from RNAcentral. Lineage: Eukaryota; Viridiplantae; Chlorophyta; Ulvophyceae; Ulvales; Ulvaceae.
GGGGAGCGUCGCUCUACCGAUUGACGUGCUGGUGAAGCGUUAGGACUGGAGCUCUGGGCCGGUUCGCCUGCCCAUUGCUACGGGAAUUUCGUUGAACCCUCCCGUUUAGAGGAAGGAGAAGUCGUAACAAGGUCUCCGUAGGUGAACCUGCGGAGGGAUCAUUG